UUGCUUUGGCAGCACAUAUACUAAAAUUGGAUCGAUACAGAGAAGAUUAGCAUGGCCCCUGCGAAACAUAAGUAGCCUGGUUUUCCUUUGGGUUUUU
Molecule: small nuclear RNA, 97 nt
Filed under: Salmo salar (Atlantic salmon)
Lineage: Eukaryota; Metazoa; Chordata; Actinopteri; Salmoniformes; Salmonidae
Source: RNAcentral